RNAcentral lists this ribosomal RNA (449 nucleotides) under uncultured bacterium. Its description in RNAcentral is "partial 16S ribosomal RNA". It matches the Rfam family "Bacterial small subunit ribosomal RNA", at positions 29 to 523 of the family's 1533-position model. The record is from RNAcentral.
AACGAACGCUGGCGGCAGGCUUAACACAUGCAAGUCGAACGGGAUCUUCGGAUCUAGUGGCAGACGGGUGAGGAACACGUGGGAACAUCCCUUUCAGUUCGGAAUAACGUUGGGAAACUAACGCUAAUACCGGAUACGUCCUUCGGGAGAAAGAUUUAUCGCUGAAAGAUUGGCCCGCGUCUGAUUAGCUAGUUGGUGAGGUAAUGGCUCACCGAGGCUACGAUCAGUAGCUGAUCUGAGAGGAUGAUCAGCCACAUUGGGACUGAGACACGGCCCAAACUCCUACGGGAGGCAGCAGUGGGGAAUAUUGGACAAUGGGCGCAAGCCUGAUCCAGCCAUGCCGCGUGAGUGAUGACGGCCUUCGGGUUGUAAAGCUCUUUUGUCCGGGAAGAUAAUGACUGUACCGGAAGAAUAAGCCCCGGCAAACUUCGUGCCAGCAGCCGCUGUAA